This 497-nucleotide ribosomal RNA is filed under the name uncultured bacterium. RNAcentral's name for it is "partial 16S ribosomal RNA". It matches the Rfam family "Bacterial small subunit ribosomal RNA", at positions 28 to 507 of the family's 1533-position model. The record is from RNAcentral.
GAUGAACGCUGGCGGCAUGCCUAAUACAUGCAAGUCGAGCGAACGGACGGGAAGCUUGCUUCUCUGAUGUUAGCGGCGGACGGGUGAGUAACACGUGGAUAACCUACCUAUAUGACUGGGAUAACUUCGGGAAACCGGAGCUAAUACCGGAUAAUAUUUUCAACCGCAUGGUUCAAAAGUUAAAGACGGUCUUGCUGUCACUUAUAGAUGGAUCCGCGCUGCAUUAGCUAGUUGGUAAGGUAACGGCUUACCAAGGCAACGAUGCAUAGCCGACCUGAGAGGGUGAUCGGCCACACUGGAACUGAGACACGGUCCAGACUCCUACGGGAGGCAGCAGUAGGGAAUCUUGCGCAAUGGGCGAAAGCCUGACGGAGCCACGCCGCGUGAGUGAUGAAGGUCUUCGGAUCGUAAAACUCUGUUAUUAGGGAAGAACAUAUGCGUAAGUAACUGUGCACAUCUUGACGGUACCUAAUCAGAAAGCCACGGCUAACUACGUG